RNAcentral lists this long non-coding RNA (210 nucleotides) under Elaeis guineensis (African oil palm). RNAcentral describes it as "long non-coding RNA (EGUI_LNC026355)". The record is from RNAcentral. Lineage: Eukaryota; Viridiplantae; Streptophyta; Magnoliopsida; Arecales; Arecaceae.
AUGUGGAAAUUAUCUUUCUAUUAAGCAUCUAACUGUUCCUUUGUGUCGAUAUCAUUGCAGUUUUUUCCAAACUUCAUAUGUCUCUGUUUUCAAGGAUGGCAACAUACCAUUUUCCUAUAUCGAAAAGUACAUUGUAAAGAAGCUAGUUCUAAACCAUGACUCUGAGGUACUUGCUUUGAACAGUUUCCAAUCAAGCCAGACCUGACCUCU